RNAcentral lists this ribosomal RNA (438 nucleotides) under uncultured microorganism. RNAcentral's name for it is "bacterial SSU rRNA". It matches the Rfam family "Bacterial small subunit ribosomal RNA", at positions 467 to 903 of the family's 1533-position model. The record is from RNAcentral.
AAAUGACGGUACCUGACUAAGAAGCCCCGGCUAACUACGUGCCAGCAGCCGCGGUAAUACGUAGGGGGCAAGCGUUAUCCGGAUUUACUGGGUGUAAAGGGAGCGUAGACGGUGGGGCAAGUCAGAUGUGAAAGCCCGGGGCUCAACCCCGGGACUGCAUUUGAAACUGCCUGACUAGAGUGCAGGAGAGGUAAGUGGAAUUCCUAGUGUAGCGGUGAAAUGCGUAGAUAUUAGGAGGAACACCAGUGGCGAAGGCGACUUACUGGACUGUAACUGACGUUGAGGCUCGAAAGCGUGGGGAGCAAACAGGAUUAGAUACCCUGGUAGUCCACGCUGUAAACGAUGAAUACUAGGUGUCGGGGGUCAAACGACCUUCGGUGCCGCAGCUAACGCAAUAAGUAUUCCACCUGGGGAGUACGUUCGCAAGAAUGAAACUCA